GGGGAUGUAUAACUUCGGUUAGCUAUAUUUGGUUUAAAUAAAUAAUUACAUUUAGUCUUAUACAUUAAAUAUUGUUAUUUAGUUAAUUUACGGCCUGUCAGUUAGAUAAUAAACCUUCUAAUUACUUAACUAGAUAAUAUUUUAUCUAGGCAGACGGUAUAGUAUCGACUUUGUCGAGUAAAGUUCUAGAUAUAAAACUGAUGAUGACAAUUUUAUUAUCUAUAUGUCUUGACCAAAUUACGUGCCAGCAGUCGCGGUAAUACGUAGAAGACUAGUGUUAUUCAUCUUUAGUAGGUUUAAAGGGUACCUAGACGGUAAAAUUAAUCUUAAAUAGGAUAUGUUUUUACUAGAGUUAUAUGUGAGGAGGGGAGUAUUUAUGGUGUAGAGUUGAAAUUCGUUGAUCCCAUAAGGACUGGUAACGGCGAAAGCAACCUUUUAUGUAAUAACUGACGUUGAGGGACGAAGGCUCGGGUCACGAACAGGAUUAGAUACCCUAGUAGUCCAAGCAGAUAAUUAUGAAUGCCAUAGAUUAGAUAUUUUUUUUUUGAUCUAUAAAUGAAAGUGUAAGCAUUUCACCUCAAGAGUAAUGUGGCAACGCAGGAACUGAAAUCAUUAGACCGUUUCUGAAACCAGUAGUGAAGUAUGUUAUUUAAUUCGUAGGUACGCGAAAAACCUUACCACAAUUUGAAUAUUAUCUUUAUAAGAUAUUACAAGCGUUGCACGGCUGUCUUCAGUUAAUGUCGUGAGAUAUUGGUUAACUCCUUUAAAUUAACGGAAGCCCUUGCUUUACUUGCUUUUUAUUAGGACAACUUCUCUUUAAAAAGAAUAAAGCAGUUCACCAUUAUAUUGGAUAUGAUAACAGGACCAAGACAAGUCA
This 877-nucleotide ribosomal RNA is filed under the name Microscypha sp. TNS-F18016. Its description in RNAcentral is "SSU rRNA". The stretch from base 129 to 877 matches the Rfam family "Bacterial small subunit ribosomal RNA", at positions 1 to 1192 of the family's 1533-position model. The record is from RNAcentral. Lineage: Eukaryota; Fungi; Ascomycota; Leotiomycetes; Helotiales; Hamatocanthoscyphaceae.